ACGAACGCUGGCGGCGUGCUUAACACAUGCAAUUCGAACGGUGAUGCUCCAGCUUGCUGGAGUGGAUCAGUGGCGAACGGGUGAGUAACACGUGAGCAACCUGCCCCAGACUCUGGAAUAAGCGCUGGAAACGGCGUCUAAUACUGGAUACGAAACUGGCCCGCAUGGGCAUGGUUUGGAAAGUUUUUCGGUUUGGGAUGGGCUCGCGGCCUAUCAGCUUGUUGGUGAGGUAAUGGCUCACCAAGGCGACGACGGGUAGCCGGCCUGAGAGGGCGACCGGCCACACUGGGACUGAGACACGGCCCAGACUCCUACGGGAGGCAGCAGUGGGGAAUAUUGCACAAUGGGCGAAAGCCUGAUGCAGCGACGCCGCUUGAGGGAUGACGGCCUUCGGGUUGUAAACCUCUUUCAGCAGGGAAGAAGCGAAAGUGACGGUACCUGCAGAAGAAGCACCGGCUAACUACGUG
This 467-nucleotide ribosomal RNA is filed under the name uncultured bacterium. RNAcentral describes it as "partial 16S ribosomal RNA". It matches the Rfam family "Bacterial small subunit ribosomal RNA", at positions 29 to 507 of the family's 1533-position model. The record is from RNAcentral.